UCCCUGGUAGUCCAGUGGUUAGGAUUCGGCGCUCCCACCACCAUGGCCCGGGCUCGAUUCCCGGUCAGGGAG
Molecule: non-coding RNA, 72 nt
Organism: Rhincodon typus (whale shark)
Lineage: Eukaryota; Metazoa; Chordata; Chondrichthyes; Orectolobiformes; Rhincodontidae
Source: the annotation of a RefSeq genome assembly